AUUGAACGCUGGCGGCAGGCCUAACACAUGCAAGUCGAACGAGUGGCGGACGGGUGUGUAAUGUCUGGGAAACUGCCUGAUGGAGGGGGAUAAUUACUGGAAACGGUAGCUAAUACCGCAUACCAUCAGAUGUGCCCAGAUGGGAUUAGCUUGUUGGGGGGGUAACGGCUCACCAAGGCGACGAUCCCUAGCUGGUGUGAGAGGAUGACGAGCCACGCUGGAACUGAGACAGGGUCCAGACUCCUACGGGAGGCAGCAGUGGGGAAUAUUGCAAAAUGGGGGAAAGCCUGCUGCAGCCAUGCCGCGUGUAUGAAGAAGGCCUUCGGGUUGUAAAGUACUUUCAGCGGGGAGGCGUUACCCGCAGAAGAAGCACCGGCAAACUCCGUGCCAGCAGCCGCGUAAUUC
RNAcentral lists this ribosomal RNA (405 nucleotides) under uncultured bacterium. RNAcentral describes it as "partial 16S ribosomal RNA". It matches the Rfam family "Bacterial small subunit ribosomal RNA", at positions 30 to 526 of the family's 1533-position model. The record is from RNAcentral.